GAUGAACGCUGGCGGCGUGCCUAAUACAUGCAAGUCGAACGCUUCACUUCGGUGAAGAGUGGCGAACGGGUGAGUAAUACAUAAGUAACCUGGCAUCUACAGGGGGAUAACUGAUGGAAACGUCAGCUAAGACCGCAUAGGUGUAGAGAUCGCAUGAACUCUAUAUGAAAAGUGCUACGGGACUGGUAGAUGAUGGACUUAUGGCGCAUUAGCUUGUUGGUAGGGUAACGGCCUACCAAGGCGACGAUGCGUAGCCGACCUGAGAGGGUGACCGGCCACACUGGGACUGAGACACGGCCCACACUCCUGCGGGAGGCAGCAGUAGGGAAUUUUCGGCAAUGGGGGAAACCCUGACCGAGCAACGCCGCGUGAAGGAAGAAGUAAUUCGUUAUGUAAACUUCUGUCAUAGAGGGAGAACGGUGGAUAUAGGGAAUGAUAUCCAAGUGACGGUACUCUAUAAGAAAGCCACGGCUAACUACGUG
RNAcentral lists this ribosomal RNA (482 nucleotides) under uncultured bacterium. Its description in RNAcentral is "partial 16S ribosomal RNA". It matches the Rfam family "Bacterial small subunit ribosomal RNA", at positions 28 to 507 of the family's 1533-position model. The record is from RNAcentral.